RNAcentral lists this ribosomal RNA (611 nucleotides) under Hydraena cordata. RNAcentral describes it as "partial 16S ribosomal RNA". It matches the Rfam family "Bacterial large subunit ribosomal RNA", at positions 1829 to 2724 of the family's 2925-position model. Lineage: Eukaryota; Metazoa; Arthropoda; Insecta; Coleoptera; Hydraenidae. The record is from RNAcentral.
GGCCUUUAGAUUAUAAUUUAAGGUCUAACCUGCCCACUGAAAUUUUAAAGGGCCGCAGUAUUUUAACUGUGCAAAGGUAGCAUAAUAAUUAGUUUCUUAAUUAGAAGCUUGUAUGAAUGGUUGAACGAGAAAUUAUCUGUCUCAAUUUAUAAGUUAAAAUUUUAUUUUUAAGUCAAAAAGCUUAAAUGAUUUUAAAAGACGAGAAGACCCUAUAGAGUUUUAUAUUUAAUAAAAAUUUAAAUUUUAGAAUUUUUUAUAUUUUUAUAAUUAUUUUAUUGGGGUGAUAUAUAAAUUUAAAAAACUUUAUAUUGUUAUUAACAUAAAUUAAUGAAUUUUUGAUCCAUUAUUAAUGAUUAAAAGAAAAAAUUACCUUAGGGAUAACAGCGUUAUUUUUUUUAAGAGUUCAAAUCGAAAAAAAAGAUUGCGACCUCGAUGUUGGAUUAAAAUUAAUUUUUGGUGUAGAAGCUAAAAAAUUAGGUCUGUUCGACCUUUAAAAUUUUACAUGAUCUGAGUUUAAACCGGUGUGAGCCAGGUUGGUUUCUAUCUUUAAAUAAAUUAAAUAUUUUAGUACGAAAGGACCAAGUAUUUUUAAAAAUUAAUUUAUUUGAAUA